AUCCAUAUGGUCUAGUGGCUAGGAUAUCUGGCUCUCACCCAGGAAGCUCGGGUUCGAUUCCCGGUAUGGGAA
This is a non-coding RNA of Daphnia pulex (common water flea), 72 nucleotides long. NCBI's taxonomy places the organism in Eukaryota, Metazoa, Arthropoda, Branchiopoda, Diplostraca, Daphniidae. The record is from Rfam.